This 1160-nucleotide ribosomal RNA is filed under the name Halorubrum tebenquichense. RNAcentral's name for it is "bacterial SSU rRNA". It matches the Rfam family "Archaeal small subunit ribosomal RNA", at positions 1 to 1162 of the family's 1478-position model. Lineage: Archaea; Methanobacteriati; Methanobacteriota; Halobacteria; Halobacteriales; Haloferacaceae. The record is from RNAcentral.
UUCCGGUUGAUCCUGCCGGAGGCCAUUGCUAUUGGGAUCCGAUUUAGCCAUGCUAGUCGUACGAGUUCACACUCGUGGCGAAUAGCUCAGUAACACGUGGCCAAACUACCCUUCGGAGCGCAAUACCCUCGCGAAACUGAGGCUAAUAGCGCAUACCAUACCACCACUGGAAUGAGUGGUAUGCCAAACGCUCCGGCGCCGAAGGAUGUGGCUGCGGCCGAUUAGGUAGACGGUGGGGUAACGGCCCACCGUGCCAAUAAUCGGUAUGGGUCAUGAGAGUGAGAACCCAGAGACGGAAUCUGAGACAAGAUUCCGGGCCCUACGGGGCGCAGCAGGCGCGAAACCUUUACACUGCACGACAGUGCGAUAGGGGGAUCCCAAGUGCACAGGCAUAGCGCCUGUGCUUUUCGACACCCUAAGGCGGUGUCAGAAUAAGGGCUGGGCAAGACCGGUGCCAGCCGCCGCGGUAAUACCGGCAGCCCAAGUGAUGGCCGAUCUUAUUGGGCCUAAAGCGUCCGUAGCUGGCCACGCAAGUCCAUCGGGAAAUCCACCUGCCCAACAGGUGGGCGCCCGGUAGAAACUGCGUGGCUUGGGACCGGAAGGCGCGACGGGUACGUCCGGGGUAGGAGUGAAAUCCCGUAAUCCUGGACGGACCGCCGAUGGCGAAAGCACGUCGCGAGAACGGAUCCGACAGUGAGGGACGAAAGCCAGGGUCUCGAACCGGAUUAGAUACCCGGGUAGUCCUGGCCGUAAACAAUGUCUGCUAGGUGUGGCUCCCACUACGAGUGGGUGCUGUGCCGUAGGGAAGCCGCUAAGCAGACCGCCUGGGAAGUACGUCCGCAAGGAUGAAACUUAAAGGAAUUGGCGGGGGAGCACUACAACCGGAGGAGCCUGCGGUUUAAUUGGACUCAACGCCGGACAUCUCACCAGCAUCGACUGUAGUAAUGACGAUCAGGUUGAUGACCUUAUCCGAGCUUCAGAGAGGAGGUGCAUGGCCGCCGUCAGCUCGUACCGUGAGGCGUCCUGUUAAGUCAGGCAACGAGCGAGACCCGCAUCCUUACUUGCCAGCAGUAUCGCGAGAUAGCUGGGGACAGUAGGGAGACCGCCGUGGCUAACACGGAGGAAGGAACGGGCAACGGUAGGUCAGUAUGCCCCGAAUG